UACAGGGGGGGCAAGCGUUGUUCGGAAUUACUGGGCGUAAAGCGUGCGUAGGUGGUUUGUUAAGUCUGUUGUGAAAGCCCCGGGCUCAACCUGGGAAUGGCAAUGGAUACUGGCAAGCUAGAGUGCGGUAGAGGGUAGUGGAAUUCCCGGUGUAGCGGUGAAAUGCGUAGAGAUCGGGAGGAACACCAGUGGCGAAGGCGGCUACCUGGACCAGCACUGACACUGAGGCACGAAAGCGUGGGGAGCAAACAGG
RNAcentral lists this ribosomal RNA (253 nucleotides) under uncultured bacterium. Its description in RNAcentral is "partial 16S ribosomal RNA". It matches the Rfam family "Bacterial small subunit ribosomal RNA", at positions 524 to 776 of the family's 1533-position model. The record is from RNAcentral.